RNAcentral lists this unclassified non-coding RNA (374 nucleotides) under soil metagenome. RNAcentral describes it as "partial contains internal transcribed spacer 2 and large subunit ribosomal RNA". The stretch from base 1 to 120 matches the Rfam family "5.8S ribosomal RNA", at positions 35 to 154 of the family's 154-position model. The record is from RNAcentral.
GAUGAAGAACGUAGUGAAAUGCGAUAAUUAAUGUGAAUUGCAGAAUUCCGUGAAUCAUCGAGUCUUUGAACGCACAUUGCGCCUCAUGGCAUUCCGUGAGGCAUGCACAUCUCAGCGUUAGAAAAUAUUCUCAAAUUUUAGUUUUGUGCUAAAAUUUGGAUCAUGUCAAAGAAGCUAUUACUAUUAUUGUGAUCGCUCUUUGGAAAUUGAUAGGUCUUUGAGUUGCUACUCAUAGAACGUGAUGAAUCUUUCUUCGUUCUAUUGUAAUUCACUCUGGUAGUCCUAAAACUUGUAUGCCUGUGGCAUAUCUUGUAAUUUGACCUGAGAUUGGGUAGGGAUACCCGCUGAACUUAAGCAUAUCAAUAAGCGGAGGA